Molecule: ribosomal RNA, 567 nt
Filed under: uncultured Glomus
Lineage: Eukaryota; Fungi; Glomeromycota; Glomeromycetes; Glomerales; Glomeraceae
Description: SSU rRNA
Rfam family: Eukaryotic small subunit ribosomal RNA
Source: RNAcentral
AAUUGGAGGGCAAGUCUGGUGCCAGCAGCCGCGGUAAUUCCAGCUCCAAUAGCGUAUAUUAAAGUUGUUGCAGUUAAAAAGCUCGUAGUUGAAUUUCGGGAUUGACGUAACGGUCGUGCCUUAAGGGGUAUGAGAACUGUCACUGUCAAUUUCUCACCUUCUGGAAAAAUAUGAUGUCCUUAAUUGGGUGUCAUAUGGAUCCAGGACUUUUACCUUGAAAAAAUUAGAGUGUUUAAAGCAAGCUUAUUGCUCGAAUACAUUAGCAUGGAAUAAUAAAAUAGGACGGCUUGGUUCUAUUUUGUUGGUUUCUAGGAUCACCGUAAUGAUUAAUAGGGAUAGUUGGGGGCAUUAGUAUUCAAUUGUCAGAGGUGAAAUUCUUGGAUUUAUUGAAGACUAACUACUGCGAAAGCAUUUGCCAAGGAUGUUUUCAUUAAUCAAGAACGAAAGUUAGGGGAUCGAAGACGAUCAGAUACCGUCGUAGUCUUAACCAUAAACUAUGCCGACUAGGAUUCAGACGAUGUUAAUUUUUUAAUGACUCGUUUGGCACCUUACGGGAAACCAAAGUGU